Molecule: ribosomal RNA, 489 nt
Filed under: Triticum aestivum (bread wheat)
Lineage: Eukaryota; Viridiplantae; Streptophyta; Magnoliopsida; Poales; Poaceae
Description: partial small subunit ribosomal RNA
Source: RNAcentral
AUGGAGGAUGGUACGCCGGCCGCCGGCGCCGGCCUCCGGCGCCGGCCGCCAGUCCUCGGCCUCCUCCGUGAUUUGAUUGGCUGCUAUAAGAAGCAAGGGUCCUCGGCCGGAAUCUCCAUCUGGUUUUGCCUUUCAACCAUAAUCUCCAUCAUCCCGUCGAAAUUGCAAUUUUUGACCAAACAUCCAAUGUCGCCGCCAAGUUCGCUGGAGGAAGAAGCGCCGAGUUCGCCGGAGGAACAAGCACCGAGUUCGCCGGAGGAACAAGAACGCCCGCCGAGUCCUGUGGUGGCUACACGAGAGGCCCUUAAGAUGAGUAAUGAACAUCCAUUGAGCCGUCCAAUGUUGCCUGUGGCAACUACACCGGAGCCAUCGUCUCCUUUGACUUCACCGCCAUCGUCUCCAUCGACUUCGCCGCAAGACAAUCUGCCACCGCCUCCGCCGAUUUUGCCGGAAGACCAUCAGCCGUCGCCUAGACCUACUUUGAGAUAA